UGUUAAAAUCCUGGUGUUAAGGACUUUUAGAGUAAAGAGUUAAACUUGUGGUGUUGAAUUUGAGAGGAUUAACACUAGCUAGUGUAAACAGCGCCCUCUGGCCGGUGUAAAUACGCCGAGUUACCCUUAUUAACACUGUUGAGUGUUAUCAGUCACAUCCGGGACAUUUGCUCGUGUGCGCGCCUCACCCAUCUGAAAUAUUUUUUACAGACGCCAUUUUCUUUGCUCGCGACGCGGAGCAUAAUGAGGAAGGGAAACAGCGAAAUACAGCGUUUAAUCUUAAUUACAAAAUGUAAUGUAAUGUCAUAUCGUUUAAUAACGAUAUUUAUGUGCUGUAUGUGGCUAAAUUUUUCUCUGAGACAUGUUUAUCCACUCGCGAUGCGGAACAGACCAGAGUCCUGUACUCCUAAACUUUUUCUCAGAGAGAUAUUUUCUUUCACUCACGAUACAGAGGAGACCAGUUUUAUCAAGGAAAACACCGAAAAUUUGAAUUGCAAUGCGGAGCUGACGCAGAUGAGCCGCUUUUAAUAGGGAAACUUAAGGGAGAUAUUUUCUUUCACUCACGAUGCGGAGCAGACGGGGAAGUUGGUUUUAUCAAGGAAACACCUAAAAUUUGAAUUGUUAUGCAGGGCAGACGCAGAGGUCACUUUAACAGGAAAACGUAAGAAAGAGAUAUUCUUUCACUCUGGAGAUGAUGUGCUUGAAGAGUAUGAAGUCACCAUUACAUUAAGUGGGAUGAGAAGAGCUCUGUUAGGACACAUACCAGAAACAAGGGAGGAGUCCAACCUCAAUGCAGAGAGAGAUCAGUACGCACUUGGAAUUAUGACUUUGUUUCUGUUGUUAAAAGACUAAUUUUCCAGUCACUGUAGCCACCCAGAUCCAGACUGAAUCCAGAUCAGAUGGUCACUGCAGUUCCCUGGAUCCAGUCCGUAUCCAGUCCAGAUGGUGGAUCAGUACCUAGAGAUGACCUCUACAGCCCUGAACGUCAGCGGAGACCAUGACAACUACAUGAGCCCCAGAGACAGAUCCCCUGCGAACACCUCGUCAACACACCCAUUGGCACAAGACCUCUGCUCAAUCUGACUUUGUUGCAGCCUAUUUCCCUGUUUAAUACUGUAAAGCUGCAUUGAUACAAUCUGCAUUGUAAAAAAUGGAUGUAAAAUUAUCCUGUUUUUUAUGUUUUUGUUAUUUAGUUUUCUAAUUUUACAGGAGCACUUUUGAAAUGCUCCAAGUGGGAAUGGAUAUCUUGCUUGGCUGAAAACAGCAGAGAAACACAUCUUGUCAUGCUGAAAACAAAGCAAAGACUGUUGUUAAAGCUGAUAAAUGUAAGCAUUAUAAACCUUAAAACAUUAAGAGCACAUAUGGACCAAAUAAGAAUUUGUAUUUUGUGCCUUUGCAUUGAUUUGCCUUGACAUUAUGAUGUUUUAGAUGCUGUGAGAACAUGU
Molecule: long non-coding RNA, 1445 nt
Organism: Labeo rohita (rohu)
Lineage: Eukaryota; Metazoa; Chordata; Actinopteri; Cypriniformes; Cyprinidae
Exons: 7
Source: RefSeq, a predicted model, not a curated record